CGACCUGGGCGCGGACGCGCGUGACGAGAGCGCGUCCCUUCCGGGAGGAAGGCCCGCCCCCCUCGAGCGUCCAUAGCAACCACGGGCGACCGUUAAAGCAACUGGCGCCGUUCCCGUAGCCCUGCGUCAUCCUUCCGGAGGCCAUCUCUGAAAAGGAAGCAGCGGGGAGGCGGAAGAGGCUCCUUUACUUUAGGCGGGCCCCCCGCAGCCUGUUGUUUUUCCCGGCGCCACCGCUCCUUUCCUCUUCGCUCCAUCGAUGGUCUCCUCACCGGACAGCCUUGCCCAAGAACUUCGUUACUAUACAACAAUCCACCAUCGUCUCUCCGCAUUUGACUCCCGCGAUGGGUUCCUUUUUCUCCUCACCGCCCCAAACAGCUCUAUCGCCGCCCAGUCAACUUUCAAGAGGUUUUCUUCAGAGCAGAGGGCUUCAUCUGAGUCAAGACACAGUCUUAAGACCCCUUUUGUGUAUACGAGGACUUUGUCUUGGUCAGAAGCUUGUGAAAGCAUCAUGAAGAGAAGAGGGCCUCUGAGCAAAUGCAAAGUGCCUUUCCCUAGCAGCUGAGAAAGCAGUGACGUAACAAGCUCUGUAGGGUUCAAGAGUUGAACAUGGCCCCCAUCAGAUAGUUUCCCCCAUGGGGAUCUGUGAGAAACUCAAAAAGUUCAAUAUCAAUUAUCAGCACUCUUUCCAAACUAGAACUCCCAGGAUAGGUAUAAAACACAUAUAAGUUUGUAGUGUAGAUAGGUGCCCACCAGCUCAUCUCUCUCCAGUGCUGAAGGAUGACACUUUGCUCACACUUCUGCAGGUGGCAAUGACAUCACCUGCGGUUUUUCUGUUAUAAUGUGCUCAUUGUCUCCUUGGGGAUGGAUAAAGUAAUGUGGAGGAUGCAGGAGAAGCAGCAUUGCAUAGAGGCUGCUUGGUUCUCUUCCUGUCCCAAGACUAGGUGAGAUAAUCCUGACAAAGCAGUUGUACUCCUUUUAAAUAUACAACUGUAUGGUAAGGCUGCCAGGUAAGAAGUAUCUUUCUGUUCUAGAACAGGAAUUUGUAACAGCUGGAGGCAGUCUGAAACCAAGUAAUCCAGCAGACCAGGCAAGCAGUGGCAGCUGACCAGCAUCGCAGGAACAUUGGGGGCAGGUGGGGGGGAGAGAUGGUAGGAGAGAAGAGAUACCAGUCAUAAUCUUUGUUAUGCAAUAGUUGCUGGGUCUCUUUUAUGCUAUCCUUUAUUUUUAUUGUUUUAUGUACCUUACUUUGCUAAAUUAUCUUAUCUUAUUGUUAUGAAGGGAUAUACUAAAAUUAAUGCAUCUAUUUCUAGAGAGGACAGGCAUGUUACGAGAUAUGCAUGGUUUCCAGUAUUUCCAGUGGGCCUUGAAGGAGCACCCACUGAUUUUAGUGGGCAUUCUUGUAAUUCAUUUUAGUAGAUCCCAGUUGUUAAUCCCUUGGAGGCUUUCUGCUCUCUUUCUGGGAACAUAAAUUACCCCAUUCAGCACCAGUGCAAACACCUUCCCACAGCAGGCUGACCUGCACAACGAACUCCUUACUCUACUGCUAAAGAAAGCCAUUUGGUUUCUUUCUUAGGGAAUGAGAGGCAACACCAUCACAAUGUACUUUAUUAGCAGGAAAUGGCUUGGCUUGAAAUGUGUGGUUUUCAAUCAGUUUAAGAAAACAAACUCAUAACAAGAAGUCCGAUGAUGCACACUGUUUGCACUGUUUAAGGAAGGAGGAAGUGUAAAAGAUCAUAGGUGGUCACAACCAACAUGGAGAUAAGUCCUUAAGAGACUGAAAGGUAAUUUCCCAGUUUACAAGGAACUGCAGUCUAUCUCUUGAGAAAAAAAGAUACUUCUCCAAGAUUGAAAGACAAUUUACAAGGAAUGCAAUCUAUACGUUCUCUGUUCUCUCGAAAGAAAGAGAUAUUUCUCCAAGCAAGUGAAUAGGAUAUCUUUGUCUUGCAAACAUACAGACUUGUAUGGAGAACUGGAUGAGGGGAAAUCUUUAUUUGCAGGAAAUGGCUUGGCUAGAAAAGCAUAAAGCAAUUCAGACUAAACUUUUCAUCUUCCUC
Molecule: long non-coding RNA, 2054 nt
Organism: Hemicordylus capensis (graceful crag lizard)
Lineage: Eukaryota; Metazoa; Chordata; Lepidosauria; Squamata; Cordylidae
Exons: 3
Source: RefSeq, a predicted model, not a curated record